AGUGGACGCUGGCGGUAGGCCUAACACAUGCAAGUCGAACGGCAGCACAGUAAGAGCUUGCUCUUACGGGUGGCGAGUGGCGGACGGGUGAGGAAUACAUCGGAAUCUACUUUUUCGUGGGGGAUAACGUAGGGAAACUUACGCUAAUACCGCAUACGACCUACGGGUGAAAGCAGUGGAUCUUCGGACCUUUCGCGAUUGAAUGAGCCGAUGUCGGAUUAGCUAGUUGGCGGGGUAAAGGCCCACCAAGGCGACGAUCCGUAGCUGGUCUGAGAGGAUGAUCAGCCACACUGGAACUGAGACACGGUCCAGACUCCUACGGGAGGCAGCAGUGGGGAAUAUUGGACAAAGGGCGCAAGCCUGAUCCAGCCAUACCGCGUGGGUGAAGAAGGCCUUCGGGUUGUAAAGCCCUUUUGUUGGGAAAGAAAAGCAGCAGGUUAAUACCCCGCUGUUCUGACGGUACCCAAAGAAUAAGCACCGGCUAACUUCGUG
Molecule: ribosomal RNA, 492 nt
Filed under: uncultured bacterium
Lineage: Bacteria
Description: partial 16S ribosomal RNA
Rfam family: Bacterial small subunit ribosomal RNA
Source: RNAcentral